AGGUUAAGUUAAUAAGGGCGCAUGGUGGAUGCCUUGGCACUAGAAGGCGAUGAAGGACGUGACUAACUACGAUAUGCCUCGGUUAGCUGUAAGUAAGCUUACCCGGGGGUUUCCGAAUGGGGCAACCCGAUCUUAAUGAUCAUCAUCUUUUUGAAUUCAUAGAUUAGAUGAAGCAAACGCUGUGAACUGAAACAUCUAAGUAGCAGUAGGAAAGUAAAGAAAUUUCGAUUCCGUCAGUAGCGGCGAGCGAACGCGGAAGAGCCCAAACCUGGAUGCUUGCAUCCAGGGGUUGUAGGACUGAUGUUGAGUUACAAAGGUAUAAGAUAGCAGAAACAGUUGGGAAGCUGUUCCAAAGAGGGUGACAGGCCCGUAUGCGAAAUCUUGUACUCUCUAAUCAGGAUCCUGAGUACGGCCCAGCACGUGAAAUUGGGUCGGAAUCUGGGAGGACCAUCUCCCAAGGCUAAAUACUAACUAGUGACCGAUAGCGAACAAGUACCGUGAGGGAAAGGUGAAAAGAACCCCGGAAGGGGAGUGAAAUAGUUCUUGAAACCGUGUGCUUACAAGAAGUUCGAGGCCGUUAAUGGCUG
This 587-nucleotide ribosomal RNA is filed under the name Oenococcus oeni. RNAcentral describes it as "bacterial LSU rRNA". It matches the Rfam family "Bacterial large subunit ribosomal RNA", at positions 1 to 595 of the family's 2925-position model. The record is from RNAcentral. Lineage: Bacteria; Bacillati; Bacillota; Bacilli; Lactobacillales; Lactobacillaceae.